AUACGGAGGGUGCAAGCGUUAUCCGGAAUCACUGGGUUUAAAGGGUGCGUAGGCGGCCUGGUAAGUCAGAGGUGAAAUACACGAGCUUAACUGGUGAAUUGCCUUUGAAACUAUCAAGCUAGAAUUAUGUUGAGGUCAGCGGAAUGAGUCAUGUAGCGGUGAAAUGCAUAGAUAUGACUUAGAACACCAAUUGCGUAGGCAGCUGGCUAGGCAUUAAUUGACGCUGAGGCACGAAAGCGUGGGGAGCGAACAGGAUUAGAAACCCCUGUAGUCC
RNAcentral lists this ribosomal RNA (274 nucleotides) under uncultured bacterium. RNAcentral's name for it is "partial 16S ribosomal RNA". It matches the Rfam family "Bacterial small subunit ribosomal RNA", at positions 523 to 796 of the family's 1533-position model. The record is from RNAcentral.